This 662-nucleotide small RNA is filed under the name Pan troglodytes (chimpanzee). Its description in RNAcentral is "processed transcript". Lineage: Eukaryota; Metazoa; Chordata; Mammalia; Primates; Hominidae. The record is from RNAcentral.
UUGCCGAGGUCUGGCUGGAUGAGUAUAAGGAGCUGUUCUAUGGCCAUGGAGACCACCUCAUCGACCAAGGGCUAGAUGUUGGCAACCUCACCCAGCAAAGGGAGCUGCGAAAGAAACUGAAGUGCAAAAGUUUCAAAUGGUACUUGGAGAAUGUCUUUCCUGACUUAAGGGCUCCCAUUGUGAGAGCUAGUGGUGUGCUUCCUUUUUCUUCAUCCAAGAAAUUCUUUUAAAAUGUGACCAUUAGUUAUCCUGCCCUUUUAGGCCAAAUUUUUUCAGUUCUUCUAGAGAGUGGAUUAUACCAUGCUUUCCGUCUGGAAAAUCUCCUGAUAGCAAAAACUUAUUAUAAUAUUCCCCCUUGAAAGUAUUCGGGAAAUCCAGGAAAGCUAUGAAAGACAAGAAACUAGUCUUAAAAAAUGGUUCUGUUUUUUACAAAAUUCAACUGAUAAAUAAGUAUAUGUGACCUGUUUUUAGGUAACGCACUGUAUUAUAAAAUUGCCAUUUUUAUGGGUCCAAAUAGAAUGGCAGCUACUUUAAGUGGCUCAACCUGGUAACUUAUCAGACAUUUGGAUUUAUAUACACUGUUCAAAUAACAACAUGUCAAAUAUAACUGUAAAAUAAAUUUACAAUUUUUAAUUUCAACCGCUGAGCAGAAAAAAAAAGAA